GAACCCUCCCAAGUUGGCUACUCCUCUAUUUGAUACUAAAAUGCCAGAGGACCCUAAGAUGGCAUACACAGACCUAGAUAAUCUUCAAAUGGUGUUUUGAACGAAGAGUGUUUGGUCUUGCAUUGUGAUGGCGUCUGAGUGUUGGCUUGGUCUCUGUUGGCUUGCUACAUAUCUAGAAAGCUCCAUGAUUUGUGCUAAGCUCAAAAUAUUAGUAGAUUUGUUGUGGUAGUGCCUUAACAGGAUUUGAGGCUUCUCCAUUCAGG
Long non-coding RNA from Zingiber officinale, 263 nucleotides. RefSeq lists it as uncharacterized. NCBI's taxonomy places the organism in Eukaryota, Viridiplantae, Streptophyta, Magnoliopsida, Zingiberales, Zingiberaceae. The transcript has 3 exons. The record is from RefSeq and is a predicted model, not a curated record.